CCUACGGGGGGCAGCAGUGAGGAAUAUUGGUCAAUGGGCGUAAGCCUGAACCAGCCAUCCCGCGUGCAGGAAGAAGGCGCUAUGCGUCGUAAACUGCUUUUCCGGAGGAAGAAAACCCCUGACGUGUCGGGGCUUGCCGGUACUCUGGGAAUAAGCAUCGGCUAACUCCGUGCCAGCAGCCGCGGUAAUACGGAGGAUGCGAGCGUUAUCCGGAUUUAUUGGGUUUAAAGGGUAUGUAGGCGGAAGUAUAACAAACCUUCAGCUUAACUGGAGACUUGCCAUUGAUACUGUUAGUCUUGAGUACGGUCAAGGUAGGCGGAAUGUGUAAUGUAGCGGUGAAAUGCUUAGAUAUUACACAGAACACCGAUUGCGAAGGCAGCUUACUGGGCCGCAACUGACGCUGAUGCACGAAAGCGUGGGGAGCGAACAGGAUUAGAUACCCGGGUAGUC
RNAcentral lists this ribosomal RNA (450 nucleotides) under uncultured bacterium. Its description in RNAcentral is "partial 16S ribosomal RNA". It matches the Rfam family "Bacterial small subunit ribosomal RNA", at positions 338 to 795 of the family's 1533-position model. The record is from RNAcentral.